GACGAACGCUGGCGGCGUGCCUAACACAUGCAAGUCGAGCGAGUGAAUCUUCUUCGGGAGUGAAGCUAGCGGCGGACGGGUGAGUAACACGUGGGCAACCUGCCUCAUAGAGGGGAAUAGCCUUCCGAAAGGAAGAUUAAUACCGCAUAAGAUUGUAGCUUCGCAUGAAGUAGCAAUUAAAGGAGCAAUCCGCUAUGAGAUGGGCCCGCGGCGCAUUAGCUAGUUGGUGAGGUAACGGCUCACCAAGGCGACGAUGCGUAGCCGACCUGAGAGGGUGAUCGGCCACAUUGGGACUGAGACACGGCCCAGACUCCUACGGGAGGCAGCAGUGGGGAAUAUUGCACAAUGGGGGAAACCCUGAUGCAGCAACGCCGCGUGAGUGAUGACGGCCUUCGGGUUGUAAAGCUCUGUCUUCAGGGACGAUAAUGACGGUACCUGAGGAGGAAGCCACGGC
Molecule: ribosomal RNA, 454 nt
Filed under: uncultured bacterium
Lineage: Bacteria
Description: bacterial SSU rRNA
Rfam family: Bacterial small subunit ribosomal RNA
Source: RNAcentral